This 3409-nucleotide long non-coding RNA is filed under the name Equus caballus (horse). Its description in RNAcentral is "lncRNA (ENSECAG00000044939.1)". The record is from RNAcentral. Lineage: Eukaryota; Metazoa; Chordata; Mammalia; Perissodactyla; Equidae.
AGAAAAUCUUAAAGGCUUUGAGGCGGGUAAAAGAAAUUACCUAGGAAGGAAUGGAAAUUAGGUAGCAGCCUUCUCAAAGACGUCUUUCAAGAAUAAAGGGAAAACCACCAUCGAGCUUGGAGUUUAUACCCAGCUAAACUACUACUGAAAAGUGGGAGAAAAACAGGGCCAUUUUCAAACUUGUAAAGACUGUGGAAGUUUGCCACCCGCCAGAGUUCCCCAAAAGAACUUCCAGGGACCAUGCUUCUAAAAAAAGAAAAGCAGGAAUAGAGAUAUGGAAUGAAAGUUAACAAAUAACUGCAAUUACAUAUUUCCUUAAGUAUUUUUAUUUUUUUAAUUUUUUGUUUUUCUUUAAAAUUUUUUGCUGUUUUAUUUUGUUGUUCAUAUUUAUUUAUUGUGAUUAUUAUCUUUUAAUUGAAAACAUACUAAGUUUUAAAGGGGGAAAUUAAACUCUAGACAGCAACAACGGGACUGGGAAAUAGGAAGACAAAGUGUGUGAAGGUCCCUGUAGUCGUAAUUAGGAGGGGAAGCAUACUGAAUAAUUUUACACUUUGUUGGACAAAUGCAUAUGUUAGAAAUUUAAAGUAAUCACUAAAAGAAUAAAAAUAUAACCCACUUAUUCCAACCUAACAGAGAAAAUGAGAAAAACAUACUAAAAAAAAAUUUAGUUCAACAGAACAUAGAAAAGGAGAAAAAAGGGCAAAGAAUGAAAAUUCUAUAGAACAUGUAAAACUAUAUGGUUGAAAUUAAUCCAAAUAUAUCAUUAAUCACAAUAAGUAUAUAUGGAUUAUACUUAAUUGAAAGGCAGAAAUUAGCAUCUUAGGUAGAAUAAAACAGGCUCCAAAAUGUCACAAGACAUGCACCUAAAGCUAAAAUAUACAGAAAAGUUAAAACUAAAAGGACAGACAAAUAGGGGCUGGCCCUGUGGCUGAGUGGUUGAGUUCGCAAGCUCCACUGCAGGCGGCCCAGUGUUUCCUCGGUUUGAAUCCUGGGCGCGGACAUGGCACCGUUCAUCGAGCCACGCUGAGGUAGCAUCCCACGUACCACAACUAGAGGGACCCACAACUAAGAAUACACAACUAGGUACCUGGGGGCUUUGGGGAGAAAAAGGAAAAAAAAAUUAAAAAUCUUUAAAAAAAAAAGGAUAAACAAAUAUAUUCUACGCAAAUAAUAAUCCAAAACAAACUGAUAUAGCAGUAUUGGUAGGAGACAAGUUUAAUUUAAGGCAAAACAUCUUAAUGAGGAUAAAUAUAAUACAUACACCACUCAAUAACAAUAGGACAAUUAUCACCAAGUUACAGGAAUCAUAAAUUUGUACGUGCCUAAGCAAAGAUCCUCAAAACAGAGAAAUCCUAAAUUAACAAAAUUAGAAGGAGAUAUUGACAAGUUAACAAAGAAUUUAACAUAAUUGUAUUAGAAUUGAUAGGUCAAGCCUACAAAGCACUAGUAAGAAGAAAGUCUUUGAAUAAUUUUGUUAAUGGAUCUCCAAGAUCUAGCGGCCAAAAUUGAUCUAACAUGGAACAUUCUAGCCAACAAAUGUAGAAUGUGUUUUUUUCAACAAUUCUUGGAACUUUUAAAUGAUGGAUCUCUAAAUGAAUGUUUCUCAGGCCACUUCUUCUUCUGAACAUACGUUUUCUUCCACGUUUCACUCACAUUUACUCUAUGACUUACGUCUUCCAUGUGUCUGCUGAAGAGUCAUCAACCCAGUUAGACGGUGUCUGCCGUGGCCGUGAUUUGAGACUGAUGCGUCUCCUGGGAGCUUCCCAACUUGACCAAUAUCUUCCUCUUCAGCUUUUGAACAGUCGUUAGUGGAAGAUUUAGUCACAGUGAUGUCAACUGAAUUUAAACUUGUGGCCUUGAGUUCCGAGGCGCUCACGUUAGUUUGCGGAAGAAGAAAGUUUCUGUCUGGGGCCCUGCCUGCCUUUGGAGUAAGACAAUCCAACUGUUAUCUGUGCUCCUUGGACGUCUUCCUGAGAGACAGUGCAUGGAAUGUAGUGGAAUAAACCCGAAGGUGACAGACAGUCACCAGGGCCCUGUAGUGUCGUCACUAGCCCGGUUACCUUAGCCUUUUAUGGUCUUUCCCAAAGAGAACAUAAUUAAGUUAUCAUACUGGGUCAGGGUAAACGUGUCCUCUGGCCCAAGCCAUCACUCCAGGCUCCCAUUGCAGGGCUGGAACACUUCCUGUUUUCCCUUUCCCGUGACGGAGAAGAAUUAAUAUGCCGCCCUUUGUAAGUGACAGUGAUGCCACGGUGUUACUCUCAGCUGGUCGAUCAUUGUGUCAAUGAUAAGAGGUUUCCAUGGAGCCACAACAACCACUUCCAUCCCCACACUCCUUCCCAGUCUACCAAGCCCCUUCCUAUGUGGUUUCAUCUGAUAUUACCCACAAUCUGACCAUGGAGGCAAGAGAGGCAUUAUUAUCUCUGCUUGAGGAACUUGAGACUAAGACAAUUAAAAACGACAUCUGGAAUUUCACAUGGCUCUGUGGAGAUGAAAGAAUUAAAACCUGCAUUUUCUAACUCAAAUUUUCUUUCACACUCUUCUUGGCCUCUGACAAACGCUGCAAGCUGGAUUCAUGGAGGUAGAGUGCAGUGUGCAGCCCAGGAGCAUAUUUAAUUCUACCAGACAGAGCAGAGCCGUGAGCAAAUUCUUCCUGGCUGAAAGAAGGGAACACGUUCGUAAGCUGGAGACCCAGACCUGUGAGGGGUGCAACUUCCUGUUUCCCUGGCGAAUGCUUCAGAAAACACUCAGCUGGGAAUGUUAAAAUUUCCAUUCAUCGCCGCCCUCCAAGGCUCGUGGAAGGAUGGAUGGGCUGAUCACACAGCGGUCGAACUAGCCUGGAACCAGCCUGAAUGAGCUGCGGGACGAUGACAGUUUCUAGCAGGAGCCUGAAAACAAUUCAUCCAAAAGGAGACGCGAGAGAAAAGGAAGAUGUGCCAUUGUGAACUCCAAAGCAAUGCAUUCUCUGCCCUGGAAAGGAGAGGGGAGGCCAGACCCCAAAACCACUUGAGGAGCCUAUUGAAAAUGCAGAUUCCUGACUCCCAGGGAUUCCGGUGGGGUAGGGCCCAGGAAUCUGGGGUUUUGUUUAAGCAGCUGCCCAGGAGAUGCUAAAGCGGAUGAUCUCUGAGCCAGCCUUUGACAAGCACUGAUUUCAUGUCUCCUGGAGCCAAACGGGCAGCAGCCACCGUGGUAGGAAGCACCUCCAACUCAACCACAGGGUUACGGGCCAAGUCAGUGUCUCGUCCCCUGCCAAGCCAAGGUGGCCCUUCAGGGCCCAGUAGCGCAUCCAACGUGGUGACCACGAGCCACACAGACCAGCAAGCGUGUGAAAUGCAGCUGGUCCAAAUUGAGAUGAGCUGCGAAUGCAGCCCUGACCCUGGAUCUCGAAGACUUGGUAUGAGCAAAAGCAUGU